Long non-coding RNA from Meriones unguiculatus (Mongolian gerbil), 438 nucleotides. RefSeq lists it as uncharacterized. The transcript is spliced from 3 exons. NCBI's taxonomy places the organism in Eukaryota, Metazoa, Chordata, Mammalia, Rodentia, Muridae. The record is from RefSeq and is a predicted model, not a curated record.
UGCAUGUCGGUGGCUGUGUCCUUACCAGGGUUGGCAUCAAAGCAAUACCGGCACCACAGGUGGGCAUACAUGUGCUGUGGGGCGCCUGUAGAAGUGAGAAGACAACUUUUGGGAGGCAAAGUUCUCCUUCCAUGAUGGUCUACUCUAGGCAUCAAACUGAGAGCAGUUCAUCACUUCAGAUAAAGCCAGACACAAUCGCCAAAGCACCCCGCUGGAGGGGACCCCAGAAUUUAUCUCAUUCAGAGCCUUGCCUCCAGACUGGGUAUCUCUGUGGCUGUGAUGGACCCAUGCCUUCACCUCCUGCAUUCCUCAUAAGACCUGCCAUUAUUAAAGAAAAAGUCUAGUAUGAAGAAAGCCUGUAGCCUCCUCCAGCAAUGAUUUCUGAAAAUAUUGUAUUCUCGUGGUAAUUAUAAAUUUUAUAGACCAUCUCCUGUCCUU